AUUUCGUUAUCUGCGCACCCGCACGCUCUCUAGUCUUUCUUCUCUUUCGGAAAAGAACAAACUAUUACCACAAUGGCUGAGGAAACCGUCCGUGUUGAAGUCCCUGCGGUAGAGGAGAACGUCGUGGUUGAUGUCGCGCCGGAAAGCCUGGAGGAUGCCGUCCGUAUUGUGAUCCAGAAGGCGCUCGAGGCCAAUGGCCUCGUCCGCGGCCUCUCUGAGGUGGCCCGCACCCUGGACUGCAAGACGGCGCACAUGUGCAUUCUCGCUGAUGACUGCGAGGAUGAGGAGUACAAGAAGCUUGUCACCGCGCUCGCCAAGCAGGGCAACAUCGAUCUGAUCAACGUCGAGGAGCGCGAGAAGCUCGCCCAGUGGGCCGGCCUCGUGCGCCGCGAUGUGGCCGGUGAGGUGACCAAGACUCUCAAGUGCUCCUCUGUCGCCAUUCGCGACUUCGGUGAGCGCACUAAGGCUCUGGACUACUUGCUGUCUCAGCUGCACUAAAAGCAGCUUCCUCCCUUCGCGCCCCCGCUCUUCGCCCCCCUCCCUUUCCAUCCGUUCUCUUACUGAGUGAGCAACGUUUCGGCUGUGCUUGUGCGAGCGAGCGAGCGAGCAUGUAUGCGCGCAUGCGGAAGAGAAGGGGGAGGGGCGCAGGGCAAGUUCCGAGGGGACGGGCAUCAACUCCUGUUUAAGCGCUCUUUUUCUAAAGCAACGAAAGAAGUGCGAGGAGAUGCACAGACGGUGGCUGCAAGGAACGCGCAGGCACACACGCAUGCAGAGGAAGGGUCUCGUGUGGUUCGUGCGUGUUGCUUUGCCGUGUAUGCCUGCGCACCCUUUUUGAUGGCUACUGGUCACGCUACGCAGUGUGUGCGUGUGUGCGUGUGUGCGUGUAUGCGUGCGACGAGGAGCAGCUUCUCCCACGCUUCAGCUACUCUUUCGUCCUCUUGUCUUCUCGCGCUGCUCGCUCUCGCUCUCUCAUGUUCUUCUCUUUGCUCUCUCGUACUCGGACACACACGGACAUGCGUGCGCGCGUGUACGGCUUGGUGGCGAGCGAAAGCGAGAGAUGACGAGGAUGAGAAUGAUGAGGUGGUGGUGGUGGUGAGGAAGGCAGCUGGCAGGGCAGGGCAAAGAGAGGAGUCGAGGAAGAGGAUGACGCCGAUGCCGUGGGAGGAGGGUGCUUUUCUGUAUAUAUACGAAAUCACUAACUUCAUUUCUUCUUUUCAGUAAAAGUUUUCGAAUUUCUUUUCCGAUGACCCACGC
RNAcentral lists this unclassified non-coding RNA (1254 nucleotides) under Leishmania donovani. RNAcentral's name for it is "gene:LdHU3.13.0630(CDS-product:40S_ribosomal_prot ein_S12_putative)". Lineage: Eukaryota; Euglenozoa; Kinetoplastea; Trypanosomatida; Trypanosomatidae. The record is from RNAcentral.